AGCAGCGAGCGCAGGCAGGCGGAGCGGCAGCCCCAGUAGCACGAGGAGGUGUUGCAGCAGUGGCAGAUGUGCAGCGAGCUGCUCUCGCCGGGCUCGCUGCCGUCGCCGCCGCCGCAGCCGCCUCCCCCGGGCUCCCCGUCCUCCUCGCCGCUGCCCACCGCCUCGUCCAGGUUGUGCAGCUGGGCGAAGCCCACCCCCACGCCACCGCCAUCGGAUUUCGCCGCCAUCUUGACUCUCUUCCCAGCUCCGGAGGUGAAAGACUGUUUCUUUGCUGGAGUUGAAACAACACCUUGGGGGCUGGAGAAAUGGCUCACAGGUUAAGAGCACUGGCUGCUCCUCCAGAGGACCUUGGUUCCCUUCUCAACACCCACAUGGCAACUCACAACUGUCUCUAAUCCAAGUUUCAGGGGACCUGGCAUCCUCAUGCAGACAUAAAUGCACAUAAAAAUAAAUCUUUUCAAAAAGAAAAAAGGAACAGCAGUGAAAUAACAUCUUAAACCAUGGGUUGCACACAGUUGCUCAGACAUGAAUUCUUGUUCCAUUAAAGUGUGGUACCAAAAGGCUCCUUCAUAAUCAGUUCUACACAAUGAGUUCUCCUGAAUCACACCCUAUGCCGUCUACCCACUGAUGCCAACCCCAAAGGACAUCAUAUCACAGCACUAGUUAUAGGAAGGACCCUGUUACAUUGCAGUAACGGCACACAUCUAGGACACAUCGUGUAAAUCCUAGUAUGAGGAUGGGCCUCAGCACGACACCACUGAUGGGCUUUUGAGCCUCUGGAAGCUUCUUAACUCUAAGUGUGCAUCAUCCUUAUGCUUCUAUUUUACUAACUUUUGUAGAAAUAGAACCUCCUUUAGAACUGCAAAGCAAAUUCAUAGAACCUGUUAUUUUGAUAUUUGAUGUUAAGAAUUGAAGUGUUGGGCUGAAGAGAUGACUCCAUGGUUAAGAGCACUUGCUCUUUCAGAAGACCCAAAUUUCAUUCCCAGAACCUAUACCAGGUAGUUCACAACCACCUGUAACUCCUGAUCCAGGAAGUCAGGUGCCUGCUUCUAGCUUCUGUAGGCACCUGCACACAUGUGACAUACACUCAUACAGACAUGCACGCGCACACACACACACAAAUAGUAUUCAAGUAUUGUUACUGGUGGUAUAAAAUGGUAUAAUCUCUACAGAGGAGAAUUAGACCCUACCUGCCAAAUUACAGGUGGAAUUACCCUCUGAAACAAUAACCUUCUUAUGGAAGUUUAUCCUAUAGAUAAGUAUGCUAGUCAGAAAGUACAAAUAGGGCUAAAGAUAUGGCUCAACAGUUAAAAAGCACUGGAUGCUCUCCCACAUGACCUGGGUUCAAUUCCCAGUACCACAUGGUAGCUCACAACUACCUCUAACCCCAAUUCCAGGGGGUCUGCUGGCCUCUAAGGGCUUGAGGCAUACAUAUGUUACACAGAUAAUACAUGCUGACAAAACAUCCAUACAUAUAAGAAAUUCGUUACAUUAUUUGCUUCUUUAGUUAUUUAUAAUUUAUUCUUUUCUCCUACACUACACCCUGCCCACAGCAUCCCCUCCCUACCUUCAUGCCAGUCAUUCCACAUCACGCUUUAGUUUUAGAUUUCUUCAUAUGAUAUAUUUUGGUCACAUUCCUUCCCUUCCCCCCAAGUCCUCCCUAAUCCUUCCCACCUCUCUACCUAUCCAACCUCAUUUUCUUUCUUUUAAUUAAAAAACAAAACAACAAACAACAAUAACAACAAAAAUACUACCAAAUUAUAACCAAACAUGCACACAUAACCUAUCUACUUUCAGAUUCUUGGACACAUUAGCAUUGUCAAAUAUGAGUCCCAUCUCAUGAAAUGGUUGGUUAGAGCCAUAUUAUUUAUGCCUCUGUUACUGCAAUAUAUUACAGAUAUAUAUGUAGACAAAACACCCAUGCACAUAAGAAAAACUUUUUAACAAAGUACAUGUGUAUUCAUAUAACUCAGUUCUUCAUGCAGCAUGUUUCAAAUAGCAAGGAAAUAUGGAGAGGUAAAAAGACCCAAAUGUCAAUUCUAGGGGAACUACUAGAUUCAUUUUGUUGUAUUUGUAUGACAGAAUGUGAUGUGGUGAUGUUGAAAAUGUCAGUCUUUUUUUUUUAAGUUAUGUAAAAUGAGUUGUGUGAUGUUAUGUUAUACAAGAAGAGCAAAGUGCAAUACAAUAGAACAUGCUUCAUUCUCAGUAAGACUGUAGAAGUACCUUUAUUAUCUGUUCCUGUUUGCUCUUUUCUAUAUAAAGCAAUUUGAAGAAAGUGCUCAAGAAAGUAAUUAAAACAAUUUCUUAAAGAGUAGUGUUAUAGGUGUGGCAAAGCUGUGUAUAUGGGAGCUGGAAUAUACAGACAAUAUAUAUACAGACAAUAAAAUUGGAAGAUACUGGGCCUGCUGGGUCACAGAGGAGGAUAGGACAGCAGGGGCCAGCCCUAAGAGGCCAUUGUUGAUAGUAAACACAUUGAGGAAACUGUAAAGGCAUUAUCUCUAAGAACUCCUAAAUUGCCGGGCGUGGUGGUGCAUGCCUUUAAUCCCAGCACUCGGGAGGUAGAGGCAGG
Molecule: long non-coding RNA, 2569 nt
Filed under: Mus musculus (house mouse)
Lineage: Eukaryota; Metazoa; Chordata; Mammalia; Rodentia; Muridae
Description: predicted gene 15918, transcript variant 2 (Gm15918)
Source: RNAcentral